Molecule: ribosomal RNA, 526 nt
Filed under: uncultured Glomus
Lineage: Eukaryota; Fungi; Glomeromycota; Glomeromycetes; Glomerales; Glomeraceae
Description: SSU rRNA
Rfam family: Eukaryotic small subunit ribosomal RNA
Source: RNAcentral
UGCCAGCAGCCGCGGUAAUCCAGCUCCAAUAGCGUAUAUUAAAGUUGUUGCAGUUAAAAAGCUCGUAGUUGAAUUUCGGGGUUAGUAGGUUGGUCAUGCCUCUGGUAUGUACUGGUCUCACUGAUUCCUCCUUCCUGAUGAACCUUAAUGCCAUUAAUUUUGUGUUUCGGGGAAUUUGGACUGUUACUUUGAAAAAAUUAGAGUGUUUAAAGCAAGCUAACGCUUGAAUACAUUAGCAUGGAAUAAUGAAAUAGGACGUUCGAUCCUAUUUUGUUGGUUUCUAGGAUUGACGUAAUGAUUAAUAGGGAUAGUUGGGGGCAUUAGUAUUCAAUUGUCAGAGGUGAAAUUCUUGGAUUUAUUGGAGACUAACUACUGCGAAAGCAUUUGCCAAGGAUGUUUUCAUUAAUCAAGAACGAAAGUUAGGGGGAUCGAAGACGAUCAGAUACCGUCGUAGUCUUAACCAUAAACUAUGCCGACUAGGGAUCGGAUGAUGUUAAUUUUUUAAUGACUCAUUCGGCGCCUUACG